AUUGAACGCUGGCGGCAUGCCUUACACAUGCAAGUCGAACGGUAACGGGUCCUUCGGGAUGCUGACGAGUGGCGAACGGGUGAGUAAUACAUCGGAACGUGCCUAGUAGUGGGGGAUAACUACUCGAAAGAGUGGCUAAUACCGCAUGAGAUCUACGGAUGAAAGCAGGGGAUCGCAAGACCUUGUGCUACUAGAGCGGCCGAUGGCAGAUUAGGUAGUUGGUGGGAUAAAAGCUUACCGAGCCGACGAUCUGUAGCUGGUCUGAGAGGACGAUCAGCCACACUGGGACUGAGACACGGCCCAGACUCCUACGGGAGGCAGCAGUGGGGAAUUUUGGACAAUGGGCGAAAGCCUGAUCCAGCAAUGCCGCGUGCAGGAUGAAGGCCUUCGGGUUGUAAACUGCUUUUGUACGGAACGAAAAGCCCCGGGUUAAUACCCUGGGGUCAUGACGGUACCGUAAGAAUAAGCACCGGCUAACUACGUGCCAGCCGCCGCGGUAA
RNAcentral lists this ribosomal RNA (500 nucleotides) under uncultured bacterium. RNAcentral's name for it is "partial 16S ribosomal RNA". It matches the Rfam family "Bacterial small subunit ribosomal RNA", at positions 30 to 523 of the family's 1533-position model. The record is from RNAcentral.